RNAcentral lists this ribosomal RNA (492 nucleotides) under uncultured bacterium. Its description in RNAcentral is "partial 16S ribosomal RNA". It matches the Rfam family "Bacterial small subunit ribosomal RNA", at positions 29 to 507 of the family's 1533-position model. The record is from RNAcentral.
AGUGAACGCUGGCGGUAGGCCUAACACAUGCAAGUCGAACGGCAGCACAGUAAGAGCUUGCUCUUACGGGUGGCGAGUGGCGGACGGGUGAGGAAUACAUCGGAAUCUACUUUUUCGUGGGGGAUAACGUAGGGAAACUUACGCUAAUACCGCAUACGACCUACGGGUGAAAGCAGGGGAGCUUCGGACCUUGCGCGAUUCAAUGAGCCGAUGUCGGAUUAGCUAGUUGGCGGGGUAAAGGCCCACCAAGGCGACGAUCCGUAGCUGAUCUGAGAGGAUGAUCAGCCACACUGGAACUGAGACACGGUCCAGACUCCUACGGGAGGCAGCAGUGGGGAAUAUUGGACAAUGGGCGCAAGCCUGAUCCAGCCAUGCCGCGUGGGUGAAGAAGGCCUUCGGGUUGUAAAGCCCUGUUGUUGGGAAAGAAAAGCAGCAGGUUAAUACCCCGAUGUUCUGACGGUACCCAAAGAAUAAGCACCGGCUAACUUCGUG